AAAACAACCCUUGAAGGCACAAAGAAGCAGACUAAGGGUAUAAUUCUCGAAAAGAGAAGAAAAAACAAAGGAACCAAAAACAACUAAUAUCGAAACUCAGGAUAAUCAUCCAUUUCAUCCGACCAACGCUCAUGGACAACAUUAUUCAUUGCAAUCAUACUGGGCCUAUUGGAAAGGUCAAUCGCAAACUCCUUCGGCU
Molecule: long non-coding RNA, 199 nt
Filed under: Salvia miltiorrhiza (redroot sage)
Lineage: Eukaryota; Viridiplantae; Streptophyta; Magnoliopsida; Lamiales; Lamiaceae
Description: long non-coding RNA (SMIL_LNC009206)
Source: RNAcentral